AGCGAAACCGCGAGGUCAAGCAAAUCCCAUAAAGUUGUUCUCAGUUCGGAUUGUAGUCUGCAACUCGACUACAUGAAGCUGGAAUCGCUAGUAAUCGUAGAUCAGCAUGCUACGGUGAAUACGUUCCCGGGUCUUGUACACACCGCCCGUCACACCACGAGAGUUUGUAACACCCGAAGCCGGUGGAGUAACCUUUUAGGAGCUAGCCGUCGAAGGUGGGACAAAUGAUUGGGGUGAAGUCGUAACAAGGUAGCCGUAUCGGAAGGGGCGGCUGGAUCACCUCCUUUCUAAGGA
RNAcentral lists this ribosomal RNA (294 nucleotides) under Staphylococcus aureus. Its description in RNAcentral is "partial 16S ribosomal RNA". It matches the Rfam family "Bacterial small subunit ribosomal RNA", at positions 1248 to 1533 of the family's 1533-position model. Lineage: Bacteria; Bacillati; Bacillota; Bacilli; Caryophanales; Staphylococcaceae. The record is from RNAcentral.